CUUUAGUGGCGAACGGGUGCGUAAUACGUGAGAAUCUGCCCUUAGGAGGAGAAUAACUUCUGGAAACGGUUGCUAAGUCUCCAUAUGCCGAGAGGUGAAAUAGUUUAUACUGCCUAGGGAUGAGCUCACGCCUGAUUAGCUUGUUGGUAAGGUAAUGGCUUACCAAGGCCACGAUCAGUAGCUGGUUUGAGAGAACGAUCAGCCACACUGGGACUGAGACACGGCCCAGACUCCUCCGGGAGGCAGCAGUGAGGAAUUUUCCGCAAUGGGCGAAAGCCUGACGGAGCAAUACCGCGUGAGGGAUGAAGGAUUUUGGUCUGUAAACCUCUUUUCUCAAGAAAGAAGUUCUGACGGUACUUGAGGAAUAAGCAUCGGCUAACUCCGUGCCAGCAGCCGCGGUAAUACGGGGGAUGCAAGCGUUAUCCGGAAUCAUUGGGCGUAAAGCGCCUGUAGGUUGUUUAAUAAGUCUGUUGUUAAAGACUAGGGCUUAACCCUAGGAAAGCAAUGGAAACUGCU
This 516-nucleotide ribosomal RNA is filed under the name uncultured Emiliania. RNAcentral's name for it is "bacterial SSU rRNA". It matches the Rfam family "Bacterial small subunit ribosomal RNA", at positions 90 to 637 of the family's 1533-position model. Lineage: Eukaryota; Haptophyta; Isochrysidales; Noelaerhabdaceae. The record is from RNAcentral.